UACGGAGGGCGCGAGCGUUGUCCGGAAUCACUGGGCGUAAAGGGCGCGUAGGCGGCCGCGGAAGUCGCUGGUGAAAGCCCGGGGCUCAACCCCGGGACGGCCAGUGAUACUCCGGGGCUGGAGUGCCGUAGGGGCAGGCGGAAUUCCGGGUGUAGCGGUGGAAUGCGUAGAGAUCCGGAAGAACACCGGUGGCGAAGGCGGCUCUCUGGAACGGUACUGACGCUGAGACGCGAAAGCGUGGGGAGCGAACAGG
Molecule: ribosomal RNA, 253 nt
Filed under: uncultured bacterium
Lineage: Bacteria
Description: partial 16S ribosomal RNA
Rfam family: Bacterial small subunit ribosomal RNA
Source: RNAcentral